GUUCUGGGCAGGCUCGGCGAUGCCGGAGGCUCUUUCUCCUGUCCUGCUCCAACCUAAGCUUUCAGCAAGGCCCCGUGUAACGUCAACAAGGAAAAGCUAUAAAAGUUGGCAUGAGAAUCCCAUUCUUCUUUCCUCUCAGAAAUUUUCUAUAUUACACAAAAAUAAAGGGGCACAGGAGUUCCCGUUGUAGCACCGCAGAAACGAAUCCGACUGGUGUCCAUGAGGAUACAGGUUUGAUCCCCGGCCUCAUUCUGUGGGUCUGGGUCCAGCGUUGCCAGGAGCCGUGGUUUAGGUCAAAGACGCGGCUUGGAUCUGGCAUGGCUGUGGCAUAGGACAGGAGCUGUAGCUCUGAUUCGACCCCUAGCCUGGGAACCUCCAUAUGCUACAGGGGCAGACCUAAAAAAAAAAAAAAAAAAUCCAAAAGAUCUGGCCAUUCAUUUUAUGUUUAUUCUUCUACUGUCCUGAAUUACUUACUCUUCCUGACAAUGUCUUAUCUCCCACAGUCAGAAGCUUCUGUUCUUCUGUAGCCCACACAGCCUGUGUGCUCUAUGCUUUACAAACUGCAUGAAGGUGCUCUGCUGAAUAGGUUUUCAUGACAUCUGUUUCUAUAAUAGCUCAUACGAUUGCUCCACAAGGGUCACUUGAUAGCAUGUUUUUUGAGUGAGUGUGUGUGUGUGUUUUUCACAAUUCUAUCACUAGGACUUACCCCCAGAGUCAUCCAUACAAGCCAAAUGCUUGCCUCUCUGACAUUUACUGAGUGAAGGGACAUAGGCAAAAAUCGGAUUUGGGUCGAUUUCCUUGCAUCACUAUAGACAGAUGACUGAGUCUCCUUGAACGGACCUCCUUGGCCUUCUUGACUAUGAACAUUUGGAGGAUGUACUCAGAAGGUAGUCUUUCUCAAACCACAGAGAGAAAAACAAUCUCUUAUGAAAUCAGUCUAAAAACUCAUUCCAUUCAUUCCUAAUGCUGACAUGGCACUGAUGAAAGAUACAUCUUAAAGUAACCUCGAAGUCUUAAACAACUCACAGGAAUGUGGUGACAAGAACACUUGAAUUUAAAAAUGUAAAGAGCUUACUGACCUAAAUGUCACUUUACCAAAAUUGCUGAGAAUGAGGGGGGAAAAAAAAUGGUAUCUCGAAGAGACAGCUAAAAUAGACUAGAAAGGCAGCAAAGUCUUUGCACUAAACUCACAGAAAAUGAAAAGUUAGCAGUGAAGAAAAAUAAAAGUGCUUGAAGAGAAUUGCUAGAUAACAAGCAUAUUGGCCACAGUUGGAAAUUUUGAUUAACUGCAAUUAUGUUGGCAGACAGGCACGAUUUAAUUUUCCUAAAGUGAUAGAAUUUAGGAGCACAGCAUCUCUAUCUUCAGAAUGGAGCCUUUUCCUAUGGGAUCACAGGAGUCAAUGAAGAGUCAGGUCACUGAUGUGAUAAAGAACUAGGACCAUAUGUUGAUAUGUCUCUCAAUUUCCCCCAAACCUCCAUAACCAGGUGCUAUGACUGAACUGUGUCCUCCACCAAACAUAUAUAUUUCUCUCUAAUUAAAAACAUUUUGGUUGAUCCUUUGAAGAUCAAACCUUGGCCAUCACUUAAAUCAUUUGUUGUGGUGUUUCUAGUUUGGAACUCUUAGUCUUGCUAAGAAAAUUCUUACACAUCUUGUCCUUUGGUGGUAUCUGUGUUGUUACACAUCCAGGGGAGAAAUUGCUGGGUCACAUGGAAUGCUUAUGGUCAGCUUUAGUAGUUACUAUCAAAGAGUUUUCCAAAGUGGCUUUACUAAUUCAUUUGCCCAAAGCAGUACAGCCAAGCCCUUAGCAUCCAUGGGGGAUUGGUACCACAACACCCAGGGAUACCAAAAGCCAUGUAUAUUCAAGACCCUUAAAAAUAAAGUCAUGUAGCACAGUCAGCCCCCACAGUUAUGCCCCAGAGGAUUCAACUAACCUCAGAUCAGAUCCACAAUUAGUGAUUAGUUGAAUCUGCAGAAGGGGAACUUGUGCAUCAGAGGGCCCAUGGUAUCUGCUUCCCACUGAGUGCUCUACAUCAUAGCCAAUAGUGGGUAUUGAGAGUCCUUUUUUUAAAAAAAAAAAUUGCAUUCUGGUG
Long non-coding RNA from Phacochoerus africanus (Common warthog), 2091 nucleotides. RefSeq lists it as uncharacterized. The record is from RefSeq and is a predicted model, not a curated record. The transcript is spliced from 3 exons. Lineage: Eukaryota; Metazoa; Chordata; Mammalia; Artiodactyla; Suidae.